This 681-nucleotide long non-coding RNA is filed under the name Lactuca sativa (garden lettuce). RNAcentral describes it as "long non-coding RNA (LSAT_LNC000614)". The record is from RNAcentral. Lineage: Eukaryota; Viridiplantae; Streptophyta; Magnoliopsida; Asterales; Asteraceae.
GGAAGAAGAUGAAUAUAUGUAAACAAGAAAGGAAUACCCAGAUGAGAUCUUUAGUAAAAUCAUCUCCACCAAUAACCACCACCUCCACCUUCUGCCACCACCACCACCACCACCACCAAUACUACUUACUACCAUACAAAAAUUAUAUAGGUAAAAAGAAUGAUGUAAAGGGUGUCUGGAUCCUGCCUCCACCUCACCUUCUUGUUGUAACCUUUUAUCAUUCUAGUUGAAUUAAAAUUAAAAGAUUAAAAGACAACAUUUAAAGGAGCAUGUGAUAGAGUCAAGAAAAGAAAAGAAAAAAAAAAAAGUCAAAAUGUAUGUAGCAGUGAUUCCUAGGGUGGAAAAUUACAGUCGUACCCCUGGGGUGUAGUGUGUUUAUGUUAGAAAAGAAGAGAAGAGAAGAAAGCGUUUGAUGUGGACUGUACAGCUGCUGAGGAAGCAAGGGGCAAAUUUGUAAAAGCAAGUGGUGUGGGGGAGGGGGUGGAUGAGGUAGAUGAGUGAGUUUAGUGUUAAAAAGAAGUAGAAAAGAAAUGGUUGGCUUUAUACCAUAACUAGUUAAUGUUAUUAUGUAUGUAUGUAUACAACAUCAUGAUCAUGAUCAGGCUAUGAAUAGACAUGACAAUCAAGAAAUGACAAACAAAGAAACGGCUUUUAUUUUAUUUUAUUUUGUUGUUUUUUUUU